AUAUAUAUUUAUAUACUGUAUAUGAGGCCCCUAGAACCACAAGAAAUGCAAAAAAAGUCAUUUAAUUCAUUCUCGAAUUGCCCCCUUUAAAAAUCAAAUUGCCCCGUGGGGCCUUGGCCCCACAUCGGGAACCACUGGUCUAGAUAGAGGGUAUGUGUCAGAAUGUCUGUGUCUUACUAUCAAAUGGUCCAGUGACAACAAAACAUAUGUUUUCAAAGAGAAACAGAAACAACUGGGGCAAGACGUUAGCAGUGGGCAGGCCGAGGUGGUGGGCUGUCAGCUGGUACCUGUAUGCCUAUGUUUUCACGAGAGAAGGCUCGAAGCAUCUGCUGUCCUACUGGGUGUCCCUGCCGGGAAGGUGGCGUUUUGGAGCCAGGCAAGGGGUGCUCGCCUGGACGAUUCUGUGCUGGGCAUCGGGCACUGUCUGCAAACACUCGGUUGUCACCACUCGGGGGAAGGGUGCUCCUGGCAUCGAACAGAAGGAGAUCGGGCCCACAACAGCCGCCCACGCUGAGCAGCGGGGGGCAGGCUCUGGAUCUGGACAUCAGGGGCUAGAAAUGGGAUCCGGGCACUGGCACUUACCAGCCAUGCUUCCCUCUCUGUGCCUCAGUUUCCCUGUCUAUGAAGUGGGGACCACCACACGGGCAAAGUUCAGAUCAAGUGAACGGAGGCUUGCAAAGCUCGGAGCACAGGGAAGGCAGAGGUGUGUGCUGAGCUCCCCUGGCGUCAACGCGCCGCUCAACUCUCCCAGGCUCCCUCCUCACUGUGCCCAGCCACCCGGCUGUCCCCACGCCCUCACCUCCCCUCAACAACCCUCUGCCCCGCCUGACACAAAGCAGCGCACACUUGCUGGGCCGAAGUGAACUCCGUCAGCACCGCUUCCCACAGCUUCUUCCAAAGGAAAAGAAGGGCUUAUUUUGCCAAGAAGAGAAGAGACCAUUCCCAGUACAUGAUGAGCUUGGCGAGAGGUUAUAUGUAGGAUGUAGAGUGGAAGGACCAGGGUGGAAGGGUGGCAAGGUGGGGUCUGCUGUAAGCCCCAUGGGGUUCACCAUGGCAGACCAAGAAGGAAACUUGCCAAAGCUGACCAACUGCACUCAUUCUGAGAAAUCAGCGUUCAGAGCAAAGGUCCACAGGUUGUCCUAGCAACGGGCCAACAAUCGAAGAAGCAGAGCCAGGGGCCUGGAUCAGAGGUUGUGUGUGUAGCACCCUGAGCCUUGGCACAGGAGCCCCAAGACCACGCCCAAACCCAGCAACACCCAACCGCCCAGGUGCCCCUGUGAAGGCUGGGCAUGUGGCUGCAGGUGCUCUGGGCACCUCUGACUCAGCUGGCAGAAGCCUGCAGCGGAGGAGCGCUCCCAGAGGCUCGCCUUCAAGUCCUGGCCCUGGAGAAGCCCCCGCCCACCAGGGAGGGACGCAGUGGGAGGGCUCAUCCCCAAAGAAGCCUGUGCAGCCCCACCAGGCACAGGCUGGUGUGGCCACUCAGGUUUCCGGGUCACCCCGGGAGACGGCACAGGGCAUGCAGGCGGCUCCUGGCUCUCAGCAGCCUUGUGUGGAUGGGGUGUCACGAGUGGGGAAGGGUCCCCGAGUGCCCAGCCCCAGGAUGGAGGAACAGGCUGGUCUGCAGCCUCGAACCACCACCUGGUGCCGGGGCAACUGCCCUCCUGACACCUUUCCUCUCUGAAUGGGUAACAGUCCACCUUGCAAGGCUGGAAGGGUGAGAGGUGGUGGAAAUAAAGCUCCUCACUCGGGGCCUGACACCUAACAGGAGCUCAGCAAAAGGAGAGCGUUUGCUGACGGGGCCCCGGCCCAGUCGACACCACCCUGGCCCCACACGGGCCACCCGGGGGCCUCCAGGGCAGAGGGUCCUCACAGCCAGCAGGGCACUGUCCCCGGGGCAUUCAGAGGCAAGGGUUUGGUGAGACAAUGUCAAGUCACCUCACUCACAAAUAACCUCAAACAUUAAUGUCACCCCCAAUAAAUUCAGUAAAAACUUUCUUAAAAGACUUUUUUCUGUUCUAGCAUAAAUUAUCAAUCAAUUGAUAAAACCUACAGGAUUGGCCCCGGCUGGGCAACUCGGUUGGUUAGAGUGUCGUCCGAUACACCCAAGUUGCGGUUUCGAUACCCAGUCAGGCACAUCCAAGAAUUAACCAAAAAGAAUGCUGCAAUGGAGUCACCUUCGAGCCGAGCACAGGCCCUGGCCGCCCCAGCCUCCCGACGACCGUCCACUGCUGUCACGGCUCCGGCGAGGAAGCCGAGGACCAGCGUCCACAGCCUCUGAGCCACGACAGCCGGUGCCGGCGCACGUGGACGGACCACCCGGUAGGCGCUCUGGCUGCAUCGUGUCCCCAACUCACUUCCCAGCACGUGCUCCGCUGGGAAGCAGAAGCUCCACGGGUGUUGAACUGAGGUCAACAGUGACAAGCACGGAACGAGCCGGAACCCACGUGGCCUGGCCGAGGACGCUGGCUGAGCAGCAGGUGGAAGGACGGUCUAGCAAGAGACGAGCGGCCCCAGAGCAGCCUGGCCCCAGACAGGACUCCAAGAUGAGACGACGCCACAGCACCCACAGGUGCCUGCCUGGUGGAAACUAUCCCCAUCACCCAAGAGACAUCCCCGAAGCCCAAAGAGAUCAUGUGGCUAUAAAUGUGGGGCAGAGCCUGCAGCUAAACCUGCCAGGGUCCAGUCCAGGGGAGCUUCCAGCACCUCACACGUAACCUGAGCCCACCCAGGGCCUGAGCACCAGAGGCAUCUGGACACAGGUGCAGAGAGGGCUACGGGUCCCAGGAAAUGUUCCACAUGCCAGCAUCUGCCUGCCAAGACGACCGCACACUUGGCCCUGCACCCCUCCCACUCCCCAAGCCGCCAGUGUGGACAAGAGGACAUGGGCUUCCCGUCCCCUGGCCUGUCCUGCUUCCCUUGAAUGUGCGCACAGUGUGCCUGCAGAAACCCAGGGCUCAUCAGAACUUGGCUAACAACGUACAAAGCAGCACGAAAAGAUCUCUGAGCAGCAACACUCAAAUGGAUAAUGGGUGUGUGUGCACUUGGAUGCAGGGCAACGAAGGUGUGUGGUCACGCCCUCCGCCCCAGCCGAGCUGCUUGCUUUCCUAGCACCGCGGAGAUCAGACAGCUGACGAGAAGGAAGAGGAGAAGUCACUGCACACAAGCUGCCCAGGGCAGUAAGAAGCCACGACCGAGUCUCCUGGUGAUGCUGUAACAGAAACCUGCACAGCCCUGGCUGGUGUGGCUCAGUGGAUAGAGUGUCAGCCUGCGGAAUGAGGGGUCCCCGGUUCGGUCUGGUCAAGGGCACGUGCCUGGGUUGUGGGCUCCAUCCCCUGUGGGGCGUGGAGGAGGCAGCCGAUCCAUGAGUCUCUCUCAUCAUGGAUGUUUCUCUCCCUCUCCCUUCCUCUGAAACCAACAAAAAUACAUUAGAAACAACAACGAAGAAACCUACACCGACCGGGAAGGACCCCUGACGCUUAAUAACGGGCAGCAGCCCGAGCCCUCGCCAGGAGGGGCGGCCACACAGCCACGUCCUCAGGAUACAGAGAGCAGCAUUGAACAGACCGUCAAACUGCAGAGGGAAGGCGGGGCGGGGG
Molecule: long non-coding RNA, 3596 nt
Organism: Myotis myotis
Lineage: Eukaryota; Metazoa; Chordata; Mammalia; Chiroptera; Vespertilionidae
Exons: 3
Source: RefSeq, a predicted model, not a curated record